GGUCGAAGCCACUAUAGGCCCCAUGUUACCUGUACAUAUUUGGGAAUCUGUGUGGACACGUAGACAUCUAUUUCUUGAUCCUCUCCUUUGGGAACAACCAGCAUGCUUUGGGUUUCCAUAUAGAAAUGUUCUUGACCUCCCACAUGUAUUUCACCUCCAAGAAUUUGAUGAA
Molecule: non-coding RNA, 172 nt
Organism: Ceratotherium simum simum (southern white rhinoceros)
Lineage: Eukaryota; Metazoa; Chordata; Mammalia; Perissodactyla; Rhinocerotidae
Source: RefSeq, a predicted model, not a curated record